Molecule: ribosomal RNA, 225 nt
Filed under: uncultured bacterium
Lineage: Bacteria
Description: partial 16S ribosomal RNA
Rfam family: Bacterial small subunit ribosomal RNA
Source: RNAcentral
AGUAACGCGUGAGGAACCUGCCUUGAAGAGGGGGACAACAGUUGGAAACGACUGCUAAUACCGCAUGACGCAUAGGGGUCGCAUGAUUCUUAUGCCAAAGAUUUAUCGCUUCAAGAUGGCCUCGCGUCUGAUUAGCUAGUUGGCGGGGUAACGGCCCACCAAGGCGACGAUCAGUAGCCGGACUGAGAGGUUGAACGGCCACAUUGGGACUGAGACACGGCCCAG